Long non-coding RNA from Trifolium pratense (red clover), 531 nucleotides. RefSeq lists it as uncharacterized. NCBI's taxonomy places the organism in Eukaryota, Viridiplantae, Streptophyta, Magnoliopsida, Fabales, Fabaceae. The transcript is spliced from 3 exons. The record is from RefSeq and is a predicted model, not a curated record.
AAAAAAAACUCAAUCUUAUCUCUCUCGAUACCCAAACAUUCACGCGAACAAACCCUCAGCCUUCCUCUCACACCAAACUCGAUUGAUUCCUCUCACGCCAGCAACCUAAAAUCAACUCACCACCACCCGCUUCUCUCAGCCGUCCUCUCUCUCUCUCUCUCACUCUCAGCCUUCCUCUCUCUCUCUCUCACUCGUUCUCUCGAACUUGUCAAAUCGAAGCUUCUCUCUUGAACCCUAGCUCCAAAUCGAAGCUAUAAGGGGAACGAAUUGAAGCUUCUCUCCACUCUCACUAUUAUCGUCCUUUCUCUUUUUUCUCACCGGUCUCUGCUCUCACGAAUCGAAGCUUCUCUUUCUCUUUCACUAUUGUCGAACCUUCAUCGAUUCAGGGAUCCCUACUUAGAGUGUGUCAAUUCAGACCAUCAAAGUUUGUUGGCUUAGCUAUGAGCAAGGAGAUUAUAUAACUUGGUCUGUUUGGUUGAGAGAGAUCAAUGGUUGCUAUGGCCGGGCAGAAAGUAAUGCACUAUUGUCAUC